AGAGUUUGAUCCUGGCUCAGAAUGAACGCUGGCGGCGUGGCUAAAACAUGCAAGUCGAACGGAAAGGCAAAAUUUGAUCCUUCGGGUGAAGAAUUUUGUACUCGAGUGGCGAAAGGGCGAGGAAUACUUGGGUAACGUACCUUGAACUUAGGGAUAGCUGCGGGAAACUGCAGGUAAUACCUGAUGAUGUUCUGGAAUCUUCUGUUUCCAGAAUCAAAGAUGGGGAUCCUUCGGGACCUGUCGGUUUAAGAGCGGCCCAAGUCCUAUCAGUUUGUUGGUGGGGUAAUGGCCUACCAAGACAACGACGGGUACCGGGACUGAGAGGUUGAUCCGGCGCAUUGGGACUGAGACACUGCCCAGACUCCUACGGGAGGCUGCAGUAACGAAUAUUGGACAAUGAGCGAAAGCUUGAUCCAGCGACGCCGCGUGUAGGACGAAGUCCUUCGGGAUGUAAACUACUGUCAGGGACCACCAAGCAAGGGGCGCUAAUAUCGCCCUGCGUUGAGGAAUCCCAGAGGAAGCAACGGCUAACUCCGUGCCAGCAGCCGCGGUAAGACGGAGGUUGCGAGCGUUAUUCGGAAUCACUGGGCUUAAAGAGCACGUAGGCGGACUGUCAAGCGUUUUGUGAAAGCCCUCGGCUUAACCGAGGAAUUGCUUGGCGAACUGGCAGUCUUGAGGCAGGUAGGGGCAACGGGAACUCAUGGUGGAGCGGUGGAAUGCGUAGAUAUCAUGAGGAACGCCAGAGGCGAAGGCGCGUUGCUGGGCCUGUCCUGACGCUGAGGUGCGAAAGCGUGGGGAGCGAACGGGAUUAGAUACCCCGGUAGUCCACGCCCUAAACGAUGUCAACUAGGCCGGAGGUACUCUGACGUGUUUCUGGCCGAAAUGAAAACGUUAAGUUGACCGCCUGGGGAGUACGGUCGCAAGGCUAAAACUCAAAGGAAUUGACGGGGGCUCACACAAGCGGUGGAGCAUGUUGCUUAAUUCGAUUCAACGCGAAGAACCUUAUCCUGGGUUUGACAUACUUGGAUGCCUCCAUGGAAACAUGGUUGGUUGCCCUUCGGGGGUGAAACUUGUACAGGUGCUGCAUGGCUGUCGUCAGCUCGUGUCGUGAGAUGUUGGGUUAAGUCCCGUAACGAGCGAAACCCUUAUUGUUAGUUGCCAGCGAGUCAUGUCGGGGACUCUAACAAGACUGCCGGUGUCAAACCGGAGGAAGGUGGGGAUGACGUCAAGUCCUCAUGGCCUUUAUACCCAGGGCUGCAAACGUGCUACAAUGGGGUGUACAAACCGACGCAAGACCGCGAGGUGGAGCAAAUCGGAAAAAACACUCCUCAGUUCGGAUUGGAGUCUGUAACUCGACUCCAUGAAGUUGGAAUCGCUAGUAAUCGCGUAUCAGCGUGACGCGGUGAAUGAGUUCCUGAGCCUUGUACACACCGCCCGUCAAGUCAUGGAAGUCGGUAGUACCCGUAGUUGGGGCAAUUCAGCCUGGGACUAAGUCGUAACAAGGUAGCCGUAGGGGAACCUGCGGCUGGAUC
This 1532-nucleotide ribosomal RNA is filed under the name metagenome. RNAcentral's name for it is "bacterial SSU rRNA". It matches the Rfam family "Bacterial small subunit ribosomal RNA". The record is from RNAcentral.